AGUGGCCAUGUGAUCGCGUG
This 20-nucleotide microRNA is filed under the name Heligmosomoides polygyrus. RNAcentral's name for it is "hpo-miR-10133-5p". Lineage: Eukaryota; Metazoa; Nematoda; Chromadorea; Rhabditida; Heligmosomidae. The record is from miRBase by way of RNAcentral.